RNAcentral lists this ribosomal RNA (343 nucleotides) under Triticum aestivum (bread wheat). RNAcentral describes it as "partial small subunit ribosomal RNA". The record is from RNAcentral. Lineage: Eukaryota; Viridiplantae; Streptophyta; Magnoliopsida; Poales; Poaceae.
CUAUUCAAACUCACUAUCUGAAUCAGUUCAGUUUCUUGAGUCUGAACUACAAGCUGAAAGACAUCGAUCAGCUGUGCUGUGACAAGAAGCGGAAGGACUGCGGAAGUCCCUGGAGCAUUCAGAUGCAUACUUUCUGGUGCAACAGCAAGCGUUGGAGGAUUUUAGCGCCAAACAGGACAAAGCUAAUCAGCUUUUUAAGCUUAUUGCCAGCAUGGUGGAUACCCAGGAUAACGUUUCUUGAGCUCUUCUGAAGUUGUUUCAGUUAUGCUCUUGUUUUGCUGCCGCAUUUAUUUGCGCCGGUGGCCAAUUUUGACGGCCAUUGUAUAUGAUAUGCUGCUUUGUU